UCUAAAAAACGCUGGGUUGUUUUUUCAACCCAACUGCUGGGUUGAGGCCGUUGGAUAGGACUUUGGGAUGUUUUAACCCAAGUUUGGGUUGAAAAUAAGGUUUAAAAAAAAAUUUUUUUAACCCAGCGGUCUGGGUUGAGGACGCGGACGUGAAGGAGAGCACGCACGUCACGUCAAGAUCGUACGUCUCCAGUGCGAGCAGCCGCCAUUUUCUCAGCGUGAUAGAAGCGAGAAGCGAGUGAAAGACUAUGACUUGUCCAGCUCCUGUCUUCAUUGUCCUCGCGCCGAGAGUUAAAGACACAGAAGCUGUUUGUGUGAGGAGUCACAGACCUGUGUGAGGAUGAGGAGGAGGAGGUGUUCUUCUGAAGAGUGGGACAGACGGUUUAAGGAGAGUAAACUUCAGAAUAACAUCAAGUUAUCUUUAUUUUUACUAAGACUAAAGUAAUGUUGUUUUUUUAGAUGUUGCAAUCCAGAGACAAGAUAACUUCAUUCUUUUGAGACUGAUAACUCAAACUAACUGGAGUUAAGGACACACAAGUGCUUGUGUGAGGAGGUGGUUUUCUCAGCUUCUUUGGAAGAGAGGGAAAGAUCGUUUAAGGCAAGUAAACUUCAUAAUUUCAUGUUAUCAGUUGUUGUUGUGUUUUACUAAGAGUAAAAUAAUAUUUGUUUUUGUAGAUGUUAAAAGCAAGAGACAUGGGAGAGCAUCAUUCCUUUGAGAUUUUAUAAAUCAAACCAACUUUGGAGUUGUCUGAUUUGGAGAGUCAUUAUUCUUGGUCUGCGCUCUUAGAGGCCACUGAUGAAGAACAGGCGGUGACUGGGAUGAAUCCUGGUCAGAGAGGAGAAUCUUCUUUCCCCUAAACUGAUGCAGCAGUGGUUUUAAAGGAGGACGCUGCCCUGGAUGAUGUAGAAGAUGUCACAUGCUGUGCUGAUGGGGUUUCUUCAUGAUUACAUCAGUUAUGCUAAAGAGAUCAUGAAAAUUGACCGUGAUGCAUGAUCUGUAUUCAUGGACUAUGAAACAAACUGUAAGUGUAUAAUUUGUUAAAAAAAAAAAGUUAAAUGCUUUUUCUGUGUUGUUUAGUAGAAGAGUUUACACUCUGUCAUUCAUACACCUGCUCACAUUCUUUCACACACACACACACACACAUGCGUCUGUUAAAUGUUAUAAUAUCAAAGUUAAUGUUGUGAUUUAUUUGUGUACUGUCAUGCCAGAAUAGUUGGAAAAAAACCUAAUUCAGUUAUAUUCAUCAAAUGUCCAAUGCUUUGUUUAUGUACUCUGUAGCUGUUAAUGCCAUCCUUUUCUGCAUUUCUUCUAACAUGUUACUUUUUGACUUUUCUCUUGUUUUUAAUAAAUAUUUUCCUUUUGAUAAUUAUUAUUUGUGUGUAAAAGUGAUAUUUAAAAUGAACAACAUUUGUAGGUUUAAUGCCUAGCUCAAUUUGGGUUAAUUUUAACGUAGAAAUGCAUCGUUUCCCCAC
Carassius gibelio (silver crucian carp) is the source of this 1473-nucleotide long non-coding RNA. RefSeq lists it as uncharacterized. The record is from RefSeq and is a predicted model, not a curated record. The transcript has 5 exons. NCBI's taxonomy places the organism in Eukaryota, Metazoa, Chordata, Actinopteri, Cypriniformes, Cyprinidae.